RNAcentral lists this ribosomal RNA (858 nucleotides) under Triticum aestivum (bread wheat). RNAcentral's name for it is "partial small subunit ribosomal RNA". Lineage: Eukaryota; Viridiplantae; Streptophyta; Magnoliopsida; Poales; Poaceae. The record is from RNAcentral.
AUGGCAGAGCUCCGGAAAUUCACGUCGGCCAUUGUAGCUGAAGAAGAAAGAGGAACGCAUGUGAUCAAGAUAGAUGGGUACUCAAGAACCAAGGAGCUGCUUGAGGCUGGCAAGUGUACAACAUCUAUCGCUUUCAAGGUCGGGGAUCAUAACUGGGCUGUGACGUUUUACCCAAACGGUUACAGCUCACCCGGUUUCAUAUCUGUUUAUCUGGUUCUUGAGUCGGCUGAUGCCAAGUUUAUCAAGCAGGAGGAUUUGGAGAGAUCAGUGCAUCUAAGAGGCGACAGUUUCAGAAUCAGGUGUGACGUCACCGUCAUGAAGAAGAUCCGCAGCGAAGAGGCACAUGCAAAUCAAUUUGUUGUCGUUCCUCCGAGCAACUUGCAUCUACAGUUCGGUAGCCUCCUUGAAAGUAAGGAUGGAGCAGAUGUGGCCUUUCAAGUUGGUGGCGAGAUACUCUUGGCUCAUAGGUCCGUGCUCGCUGCUCGUUCACCGGUCUUCAAGGCGGAGCUCUUUGGCGCCAUGAGGGAGAGAGCCGGUGAUCCGAUUGAAAUUCAUGAUAUAGAAGCUGAUGUGUUCAAGUCUCUGCUCCAUUUCAUCUACACGGACUCACUCCCACAAGUUGAUGUUGUGACAGCCAACCAUCUACUUGUAGCGGCGGACAGGUACGACAUUGAGAGGCUGAAGCUGAUAUGCCAAGACAAGUUAUGCAAUCACAUUGGCACCAAAAUGGUUGCCACUAGUUUGGCUUUGGCCGAGCAGCAUAACUGCCAUGGACUCAAGGAGGCUUGCUUUGAUGAUGGUUACCAACAUCUCAAAAGCAGUUGCCCGUCUGCUCUGAAAGAGCUCAUGUUGAGCUGA